This 3754-nucleotide small RNA is filed under the name Rattus norvegicus (Norway rat). RNAcentral's name for it is "uncharacterized LOC108348999". The record is from RNAcentral. Lineage: Eukaryota; Metazoa; Chordata; Mammalia; Rodentia; Muridae.
AUUGCUUUUUGGAAGAUGUUUAAAUGCCACCCUUAGUAAGGAGGUCGUGGGUCCAGACAAAGUCAACAGUCUUUAGUUAUAUUUGGCCUUGUUUCGUUGAGAAAUUUAAAGAUAGCCUGUAUGGUGUCUACCAGCUAAGUGUCAGGAAGCAAAGGUGGUUUAGAAAUCUCAAAGGGUAGAUCUCAGCACUAGAGGGCGUUAUCCUGGAUCCAGUUUUCAACACUUUAGCCAGGUGACUUAAUGGGGUCUCAGGCCAGCUUCCCGGUCAGAUCAGCAUAGGUAAACUCUGGAUACCCAAGCCUACACCCAGCUUUUGGUACCAUGUCAGUGUGGGCGCAGACAAAUGGAGGUCCCACCAAGAUCGGGAAAGUGAAGAAUUUUUCUGACGAGGUCAUCCCAUGGCACCAUGAAGCGGGAGACAGUGAAGGACACUGCGGGAAUUGAAAGCAUGUGCAAAGAAAAAUAAAGAUGGGUUAGUGAUUGGACAACCUGACUUGCUUUAAGCUUUUAGACCUUGUGGGACAGAGAACAUGGAGACUAUAGGAAAUGCCUUCAGAAAAUCAAAGAGAAGUUAUGACUCUUCUCUUUCCUUUAACAUGAAAAGUUAUUCUGACUCAACCAUAGGCUGGUCAAUCCAAUAUUGGAAAUAACAGUUUUCAUUUGGAAGAUUGGUUCUGGACAUUUUUAGAGACAUUUCAAAGUUCACAAUUGUCUUGUAUGAAGUCACAUUGGCAGUGAAAAAAGACUGGUACAGGAGCUGGACUUUAAACAAAUGUUAGCACAUGUGCUAAAACUGCUAAUCUUUUAUUUAUUGGUCAUGUUAAAGUUACUUUUGUUUCUUCUACAAUAUUUAAUGUAAGUUACAUUGAUUGUACACUGUCUAAUUUUGUUACUAUUGAAGCCUGGCAUAUACCAGCUUUUGUUUCAUUGCUUGUGAGUAUUAUAGGACCUUGAUAUUCUGAAAGGCUUACAAAUAUUGGAAGAAGUGAGUCAGGCUUUAAACAGAAGCAAUAGGAUAGUGGGUUUGAUUAUUGCUGGUAUAGUGGUAUAGCUAUUUAAUUAAUAACACUAUUGCUUAGACCCAAGAAGUUAUGUUACUUUUGUUAUUCAUUUAACAAAAAUGUUAAUGUUAAUAUUUUGAGUAUUCAAGAGGAUUUAUACGUUUGGAACAAUGGAUUGAUGAUCUUGGUUUUACCCCAAUGCUGGAGAUUCUUCGCUGGAGCCAUCUUCGUGAGGCUGCUGGGGACCAGGGAAUUCUGCCCUGGUUAUGUGGAUCUCGGGCAUGGUUCCAUUGCCUCUUGGUCAUUCUGGAGAGAAAAUCAGCUGAUCCUGAACCUUCAUGGGAAAGACUUUGGAAUCUUUGCUGCUAUUGUAGCAGCCACUGUGGCUGCAGUGUCUGGGAUUGCCCUCCCCCACGAUGAUGUUAAGGCAAGCACAGUAUAUAAACUUUCAGGAGAAGUUGCUGACAAUUGGGAAUUCUAAAUUUAAAUCAACAGUCAAUGCUCUUACAGGAACAGCUUGACAAUGGCCCUCAGUAUUAUGGCCCUCUGGCGAUGCAGUAGUCAGCCUUGUUCUUCUUAUCACAUGUGUAGACAGCACUCCUAGUCCCAGGCAGCGACUAAGUGGGUGUUGCUCUCCUUGGCAGGAGACAAUCCCUCUGCCCAAAUCUGGCUCAGUCUUUAUGAGAAGCAGUUAGCCAAUGACGGGCAACUCUUUGGGGCCAAUCCUCACCUAAGACAGGGGCUCUACGACUGGCAGAGAGUCCCAGAGAUGGGCAAGAGGUUUUCACCGCAAAGUGUCCUAAGACAGGCACUGCUUAAUAAAAAAAUGAAAAGGGGGGAUUUGUUGGACCCUCCUGGGCCCCUGUCAGUGUUUGACCCCUGCUGAAGCCUCACUGAUGCUUGUGGAAACUUUUUGUUCCUAACAAAGGAACACCCUGGCCCUGAACGGCAUGCCUAGGUAGCACACCUGGGCAAUAACACUGCUAAUCGGUUCCUGUCUUUUGUUCCUCUUUCUUGUCCCUGAGGGUGUAAGCUGGUUUUUCCAUUGUGCUUCCUGGAAUUUUCCAUCCGGUGAACUUUGGGUAUAUAUUUGGUGAAUCAAGUAAAAUAUUUGGCAUUCUCGUAACAUAAAUGACCCGAGUUUGUGUUUUUUUCUUAAACCUCACAGGCCUAUGCCCGGCUCUCGGUACCGUGUCAGUGCCUGCACCGACAAUGAAGGACUUUGUUUCCCUAAUUUCUUUUCCAGCCUGUUUAUUUUUUUGUAUAAAGGAGGGUUACUGAGAUUUGUUUUGUUUGAGUUAAUUUUGUAUCAAGCCACUUUGCUGAACGUGUUUAUCAACUGAUGGCAUUCUAUGGUAGGAUUUCUGGGAUUGCUUAUGUAUAACUAUCAUAGUAUCCACAAAUAGUGAUGCUUUGACUUCUUUCCAAUUUGUAUCCUCUUGAUCUUCUUUUGCUGUCUUAUGGCUCUAGCUAGAAUUUCAAUUACUAUAUUGGGUAGAGAGCAAGAAUAAAGGGCAGCCUUGCCUUGUCCCUGACUUUACUGGAAUUACUUUUAGUUUAUUUCCAUUUCAUUUGAUGCUGGCUCCUGGCUUGUUGUAUAUUGGUAGUAGAAUGGAUAAAGAAAUUUGGUACAUCUAUACAAUGAAAUACUAUUCAGCUAUUAAAACGAACUCUGCGGCCAAAUGGAUGGAACUUGAGAAUAUCAUCCUGAGUUAGGUAACCCCGAGCCAGAAAGACACAUGUGGUAUGUACUAACUUCUAAGUGGACGUUAGCCAGGUGCAGAACAAGCAUGUUCCAAUCCAGAGACACUGGGUAAUAAGGAGGUCCCAUGGGAGGAUGUGUGACUCUCGCUCAGAAGGGGAAACUAGUCAUCAGAGGUAGCUGGUGAGAGGGAACUGAGAGGAGAGGAGGUAAGGAGGGGAACAGGGAUGAUAUCCAGUGUGGGGAUGACCAAGCCAGCUCAGUCAGUCAACAGGUUCUACACAGCAGGGGUGAGGAUUGAAAAGAAAAAAGACAGUUAGACAACAUUUGACAUGACUGCAGCCAGUUCUGAGGCUGAAACAGAUGUUUUAUUUUCCAAUUUGCUUUUAUACUACUUUAAUUACAUGUAGAAUAAUAAGAACAAGCAAGGCUUCUGUAAAUACCUUUCUAGGGGUUAGUCAGGAUGACCUAGACAAAAGGACUGCCACACAUGCUUCUGCUGAGCCUGCUCUGAGCUUUACAUUAGCUCAAAUGCAAAGGAUCUUAAUUAGGGCCAUUUCCUGAGCCCAAGCCUAAAGCCAGACUCGUGCCCUAGGCUUAUUCCUUUGUCCUGAUAAGGUCAGAUUCCUGCCAAGUGUCUAGAGGUGAAGCAAGAGGCCCCAAAAGGCUCUCUGCAUGGGGAGAAGAUGGGAAUGGAAAGGACUAGAAGCAAGAAUGGAAAUUGGUAGGGGAAUUUGGUGACUGACUGGAAGCCUGGGGUCGGCAACAAUAUGGAGAGUCUAGGGGUGACCCUACCUGAGAGAGUGGGAUUAGAGACUGAAUCAGACACCUCCUGUAGACAGGCAGGACUUCCAGAGGAGAGAGGCAGACGUCCACCCACCCACAAAACCUUCAACCCAAAAUUUGUUUUGCCUACAAGACGUGCAGGGACAAAAAUGGAGCAGAGACUGGGGGAACAGAUAGCCAGUGGCUGCCCCAGCCUGAGACCCAUCUGUCUUAGCUAGGGUCUUACUGCUGUGAACAGACACCAUGAUCAAUGUAGUUUUAUAAA